GCGCCCGUAGCUCAGGGGAUAGAGCACUCGCCUUCUAAGCGAUCGGUCGAUGGUUCAAAUCCAUCCGGGCGCG
RNAcentral lists this transfer RNA (73 nucleotides) under Candidatus Synechococcus calcipolaris G9. RNAcentral's name for it is "tRNA-Arg". It matches the Rfam family "tRNA". Rfam says of the family: Transfer RNA (tRNA) molecules are approximately 80 nucleotides in length. The record is from RNAcentral. Lineage: Bacteria; Bacillati; Cyanobacteriota; Cyanophyceae; Synechococcales; Synechococcaceae.